UACGUAGGCAGCGAGCGUUGUUCGGAGUUACUGGGCGUAAAGGGUGUGUAGGCGGUUCUUUAAGUUUUGUGUGAAAUCUCCCGGCUUAACCGGGAGGGUGCGCCGAAUACUGAGGGACUAGAGUGUGGGAGAGGAAAGUGGAAUUCCAGGUGUAGCGGUGAAAUGCGUAGAUAUCUGGAGGAACACCGGUGGCGAAGGCGGCAUCCUGGACCGGUAUUGACGCUGAGGCGCGAAAGCUAGGGGAGCAAACGGG
This 253-nucleotide ribosomal RNA is filed under the name uncultured bacterium. RNAcentral describes it as "partial 16S ribosomal RNA". It matches the Rfam family "Bacterial small subunit ribosomal RNA", at positions 524 to 776 of the family's 1533-position model. The record is from RNAcentral.